This is a non-coding RNA of Petromyzon marinus (sea lamprey), 1174 nucleotides long. Lineage: Eukaryota; Metazoa; Chordata; Hyperoartia; Petromyzontiformes; Petromyzontidae. The record is from RefSeq and is a predicted model, not a curated record.
UCGUGAUGGGAAACUCUCGCGGUCGGUGACGUCAUGGCGCCAGCGACCCUCGUUGUGAGAACUCGGGUGAUGACGUGGUAUCCCCAACCAGCCGAGUGACGCGAACUCCGGGGAAAACGUCACAUCAACUAUCCAGCCAAACUUGUGGAAACUCGUGUGAUGACGUCACCUUACCAUCAAGUGUCUGGAUCGGAACUCGCGCGAUCGACGACAUCAUGUCACCCGCUCAGUCCCUCGGUGGGACCUCGGGUGGUGACGUAAUGUCCCCGAUCCAGCCCAGUGGCGCGAAACUCGGGCGACGACCUGACGUCGACACCCAAGUGGAGUGGCGCGAACCCCAGGCGAUGACGUCGUGUUACCGCCAUUUCGAACGGGGAGUUCGGUCGAUGACGCCAUGCAGCUCAGGAGUUGCAAGUUCAAGAGGUCACCACUUUGGCCACCGCUUCCUUCCUCCUGCCCAGAUCAUGCGUGAGACGUCACGCGGCUUGGGUCGUGUCGGGUGACGAUAAGAGCCCAGAACGACGGCCGCCGGUAGAACCGAGGGAGGGCUGGGGAGGGGUGGGGGGUCGUCGUCAUCGUCGGGAUGGAGAGCGGCAUGAGCCUGCUCCGGAGAGACGCGGGAAGGAGUGCGCGGUGGCGGCAGCUCGAGAGGGGGCGAGCAUGCGGCCUGGUGCGCGAGGCGACGCUUCAUUUACACGUGGUUUGGGAAGAUAACGGGAAGAACCCGGAGGAAACCCAUACAGAACAAGUGGGGGGAGAGGGAGAUAGAGGAAACACAAACUCGAAGCGGAGGAAGGCGCCCGCAUUGGGAAUCGAACCCUGUGAUGCGCGAGGAGUUACCGCGUAGCCACCGCCUCCUCCACCGCCACCACUCUCCCCUGGUGCCCUGCGUGUGCACCCUCCGUAGUCCGUCGUGUUUCGUGCGAGCGAGGGGUGCGUGUGUUCAAGUCGGUGGGGAGAACAACAACAAAUAUAUACAUGGACUCCUCUACUUACGAACGAGUUAGGUACCAGAGGUCUGUUCGUAAGUCGAUUUGUUCGUAAGUCUCAACUUUACUCAUGUCGAUUCCGAACAUGUACGGCGUGCUCACUAAACACGGGGGAGUGGCUUUAAAAGUUGGAUAAUCUCCUGGAGAUGUUGAUACCACUGGUUCUUCAUAUUCUGCAGAUGUAG